AAUGGUUGAGUUAUAUUUUAGGUUAGAAGUUAAGUUUGGGGAAAUGUAAAAAUGAAAGGUAAGAUUAGAAAAAAAAAACACACAAAAGGGUAGGAGAAAAAUAAAUAAAGGUGGCAGUGUUUUUGUUUUGUUUAUGGGGGGAGGAAUGUCACGAUCCUACUGUUGGGUAAGGUUAAGCUGGUUGGUAACUGGUGGUCAUGGUAACGGUGGGAGUGGCUCCCUUGAUUGGUCGAUUGUGGUCACCUGGGGAUCCAAGAUGGUGGAUAUACACACAGCAUGGUGGCCAGUGGUUACAGCCCCGGCAGGAUAAGACUUUGUAAAGCCAUUCACCCAGAUGCCAGUACACACCAGAGCUAAGGAGUCCAACGGGGGAACGUGACCGCCCCUUCACCGUCUUUGUUUGUCAAGUGUUUGUCUAAACAUGUAAACCAUAACUGAACGAGACAGCUACCGUUCACCACAACGCUUGGGCUAUCCCCAUAACAAGAGAGAGAAGGACCAGCGCUCACCAGGAACCCAGUUCAGCGAGAAAGGCGACGAAGAAUAAGAAGGGGGCGUUCCAGUCUGCGUAAACGGGAACCCCUACCACACGAGAACGCCCAUUUGUGUCUGCAGUGGGAUGAUAUUGCCUCGCAUUCGACAAACCCUCCCAGGUUUGCUGGAGAUGCUGAACCUGCAUCCAGACGUGGACGCGGCGAAGGCUGAGUGCGGUUAAGUGAGAUGUGUGCCCAAAUAAGGAUCUUGCCGGUCGUUUGGAUAAGACGCCAGCAUAAGGAUCUUGCCGGUCGUUUUGGUUAAAACGCCAGCGUGGACCAGUCGACACGAGGACCGCGACUGUCCGCUCGCUUCCACACGCACACACACACUCCUCCAAGUGAGGUGACGGGUACAUUUGUUUGUUGUUUGCUCCUGUGAGUGAAGCGGCCGUUCUGUUUUUGGCCUCCACGUACCCAAGCGACGACACAGGCCUGCAACGUGGGGAUAAAUAGUUUGUGCCGGCAUAGGACUUUAUUUUGCUUUGUACAUUAUCUUUCCAAAAUGCAUUUGAUUCCAUGUGUGAAUUGUUUACCUGUGGGUCGAUGCACAGAAUGAUUCAUGUUGAUGUUUAACGUGUUAAAUUCAAUGAAACCUAUCUUUCAUAGUAAAUUAUGUGUGUUUUAUUGUAAUUACCAUGCCAGUGAGUCCUGU
Long non-coding RNA from Gadus chalcogrammus (walleye pollock), 1188 nucleotides. RefSeq lists it as uncharacterized. NCBI's taxonomy places the organism in Eukaryota, Metazoa, Chordata, Actinopteri, Gadiformes, Gadidae. The record is from RefSeq and is a predicted model, not a curated record. The transcript has 3 exons.